UGUUAGGUGUAGCUGGUGUA
This 20-nucleotide non-coding RNA is filed under the name Arabidopsis thaliana (thale cress). The record is from RNAcentral. Lineage: Eukaryota; Viridiplantae; Streptophyta; Magnoliopsida; Brassicales; Brassicaceae.